UACCUUACUACUUGGAUAACCGUGGUAAUUCUAGAGCUAAUACAUGCUGAAAACCCCAACUUCGGAAGGGGUGUAUUUAUUAGAUAAAAAACCAAUGCCCUUCGGGGCUCCUUGGUGAUUCAUAAUAACUUCUCAGAUCGCAUGGCCUUGCGCCGGCGACGGUUCAUUCAAAUUUCUGCCCUAUCAACUUUCGAUGGUAAGGUAUUGGCUUACCAUGGUUUCAACGGGUAACGGGGAAUUAGGGUUCGAUUCCGGAGAGGGAGCCUGAGAAACGGCUACCACAUCCAAGGAAGGCAGCAGGCGCGCAAAUUACCCAAUCCCGACACGGGGAGGUAGUGACAAUAAAUACUGAUACAGGGCUCUUUUGGGUCUUGUAAUUGGAAUGAGUACAAUUUAAACCUCUUAACGAGGAACAAUUGGAGGGCAAGUCUGGUGCCAGCAGCCGCGGUAAUUCCAGCUCCAAUAGCGUAUAUUAAAGUUGUUGCAGUUAAAAAGCUCGUAGUUGAACCUUUGGCCUGGCUGGCAGGUCCGCCUCACCGCGUGCACUUGUCCGGCCGGGCCUUCUUUUCUGGAGAACCGCAUGCCCUUCACUGGGUGUGUUGGGGACCAGGACUUUUACUUUGAAAAAAUUAGAGUGUUCAAAGCAGGCCUUUGCUCGAAUACGUUAGCAUGGAAUAAUAGAAUAGGACGUGCGGUCCUAUUUUGUUGGUUUCUAGGACCGCCGUAAUGAUUAAUAGGGACAGUCGGGGGCAUCAGUAUUCAAUUGUCAGAGGUGAAAUUCUUGGAUUUAUUGAAGACUAACUACUGCGAAAGCAUUUGCCAAGGAUGUUUUCAUUAAUCAGUGAACGAAAGUUAGGGGAUCGAAGACGAUCAGAUACCGUCGUAGUCUUAACCAUAAACUAUGCCGACUAGGGAUCGGGCGGUGUUAUUAUUUUGACUCGCUCGGCACCUUACGAGAAAUCAAAGUG
This 968-nucleotide ribosomal RNA is filed under the name Keissleriella bambusicola. Its description in RNAcentral is "SSU rRNA". It matches the Rfam family "Eukaryotic small subunit ribosomal RNA", at positions 128 to 1105 of the family's 1831-position model. The record is from RNAcentral. Lineage: Eukaryota; Fungi; Ascomycota; Dothideomycetes; Pleosporales; Lentitheciaceae.